UACGAAGGGUGCAAGCGUUACUCGGAAUUACUGGGCGUAAAGCGUGCGUAGGUGGUUCGUUAAGUCUGUCGUGAAAGCCCCGGGCUCAACCUGGGAAUGGCGAUGGAUACUGGCGGGCUAGAGUGCGGUAGAGGAGAGUGGAAUUCCCGGUGUAGCAGUGAAAUGCGUAGAGAUCGGGAGGAACAUCAGUUGCGAAGGCAGCUCGCUGGGACGGUACUGACGCUGAGGCGCGAAAGCGUGGGGAGCGAACAGG
RNAcentral lists this ribosomal RNA (253 nucleotides) under uncultured bacterium. RNAcentral's name for it is "partial 16S ribosomal RNA". It matches the Rfam family "Bacterial small subunit ribosomal RNA", at positions 524 to 776 of the family's 1533-position model. The record is from RNAcentral.